AGAGUUUGAUCCUGGCUCAGAAUCAACGCUGGCGGCGUGCCUAACACAUGCAAGUCGAACGCGAAAGUGGAGCAAUCCAUGAGUAGAGUGGCGAACGGGUGAGUAACACGUGGGUGACCUACCUUCGAAUGGGGGAUAACGUCCCGAAAGGGACGCUAAUACCGCAUAACAUCCUGCUUUUGAACAGGUGGAGAUCAAAGCCGGGGAUCGCAAGACCUGGCGUUUGAAGAGGGGCCCGCGUCUGAUUAGCUAGUUGGUGAGGUAACGGCCCACCAAGGCGACGAUCAGUAUCCGGCCUGAGAGGGCGGACGGACACACUGGGACUGAGACACGGCCCAGACUCCUACGGGAGGCAGCAGUGGGGAAUUGUUCGCAAUGGGCGCAAGCCUGACGACGCAACGCCGCGUGGAGGAUGAAGGUCUUCGGAUUGUAAACUCCUGUUGCCCGGGACGAAAAGCUUCGACCUAACACGUCGAGGUCUGACGGUACCGGGUGAGGAAGCCCCGGCUAACUCUGUGCCAGCAGCCGCGGUAAUACAGAGGGGGCAAGCGUUGUUCGGAAUUACUGGGCGUAAAGGGCGCGUAGGCGGCCUGUUAAGUCGAACGUGAAAUCCCCGGGCUCAACCCGGGAACUGCGUCCGAUACUGGCAGGCUUGAAUCCGGGAGAGGGAUGCGGAAUUCCAGGUGUAGCGGUGAAAUGCGUAGAUAUCUGGAGGAACACCGGUGGCGAAGGCGGCAUCCUGGACCGGUAUUGACGCUGAGGCGCGAAAGCCAGGGGAGCAAACGGGAUUAGAUACCCCCGUAGUCC
This 807-nucleotide ribosomal RNA is filed under the name uncultured bacterium. RNAcentral's name for it is "bacterial SSU rRNA". It matches the Rfam family "Bacterial small subunit ribosomal RNA", at positions 8 to 796 of the family's 1533-position model. The record is from RNAcentral.